This is a regulatory RNA element of Bacillus cereus ATCC 14579, 241 nucleotides long. It matches the Rfam family "T-box leader". Rfam says of the family: Uncharged tRNA acts as the effector for transcription antitermination of genes in the T-box leader family. The record is from Rfam. NCBI's taxonomy places the organism in Bacteria, Bacillati, Bacillota, Bacilli, Caryophanales, Bacillaceae.
ACAAAUCUGAAGACGAGAAAGAGUAAAAUAGUGAGCUGUUCUCCAGAGAGCCGGUAUAUUGCUGAAAGCCGGUGUGCAGACGUUAUUUGAAAAUCAUCUCCGAGGAGCCGAGGCUGAAAGUAAGUAAGCCCGGACGGAUGUCUACCGUUACAAAGAACACGUAUGAUAGUACGUUGCUAAGUGCUAUUAGUGAAAAAGCUAAUAGAAUUAGGGUGGUAUCGCGGGUAAACCCGUCCCUACU